GAAGCGCGCCAGACCGUCGCUGGCACAGGGCCCGAAAGGGCGUGCUGGAGGAACGUCCGGACUGCACAGGACAGCGUAGGAGGUAACACCUCUCCACCGACAAGCCAGUCAGGGCAACCUGGGUGGCCCUAAGGUGAGGAUCAGAGCAACAGAGACGAGCCGAUUCAGUUCGGGUGAAACGGGCAAUCUCUACGCGCAGCAAUACCAAAUAGGCCAACGUUGACGUGGUUCCGCGGAGUUGGCGGGUAGGUAGCACCGAGCCGCUUGG
Molecule: RNase P RNA, 268 nt
Filed under: Hydrogenophaga sp.
Lineage: Bacteria; Pseudomonadati; Pseudomonadota; Betaproteobacteria; Burkholderiales; Comamonadaceae
Description: partial RNase P RNA component class A
Rfam family: Bacterial RNase P class A
About the family: Ribonuclease P (RNase P) is a ubiquitous endoribonuclease, found in archaea, bacteria and eukarya as well as chloroplasts and mitochondria.
Source: RNAcentral